RNAcentral lists this ribosomal RNA (253 nucleotides) under uncultured bacterium. Its description in RNAcentral is "partial 16S ribosomal RNA". It matches the Rfam family "Bacterial small subunit ribosomal RNA", at positions 524 to 776 of the family's 1533-position model. The record is from RNAcentral.
UACGAAGGGGGCUAGCGUUGCUCGGAAUUACUGGGCGUAAAGGGCGCGUAGGCGGAUAUUUAAGUUAGAGGUGAAAGCCCAGGGCUCAACCCUGGAACAGCCUUUAAUACUGGAUAUCUUGAGUUCGGGAGAGGUGAGUGGAACUCCGAGUGUAGAGGUGAAAUUCGUAGAUAUUCGGAAGAACACCGAUGGCGAAAGCAGCUUUCUGGGACAGUACUGACGCUGAGACGCGAAAGCGUGGGGAGCGAACAGG